This 439-nucleotide ribosomal RNA is filed under the name uncultured Pseudomonadota bacterium. Its description in RNAcentral is "bacterial SSU rRNA". It matches the Rfam family "Bacterial small subunit ribosomal RNA", at positions 917 to 1359 of the family's 1533-position model. The record is from RNAcentral. Lineage: Bacteria; Pseudomonadati; Pseudomonadota.
GGGCCCGCACAAGCGGUGGAGUAUGUGGUUUAAUUCGACGCUACGCGCAGAACCUUACCAACCUUUGACAUGGGUAUCACCGGAACGGUAAUCGUUCCUUCAUUUAGUUGGAUACCACACAGGUGCUGCAUGGCUGUCGUCAGCUCGUGUCGUGAGAUGUUGGGUUAAGUCCCGCAACGAGCGCAACCCUCGCCUUUAGUUGCUACCAUUCAGUUGAGCACUCUAAAGGACUGCCGGUGUAAGCCGGAGGAAGGUGGGGAUGACGUCAAGUCCUCAUGGCCCUUACAGGUUGGGCUACACACGUACUACAAUGGCAAUGACAGAGGGAUGCCAACUCGCAAGGGUGCGCGGAUCCCAAAAAGUUGCCUCAGUUCGGAUUGUCCUCUGCAACUCGAGGGCAUGAAGUUGGAAUCGCUAGUAAUCGCGAAUCAGCAGGUCG